UGGGGAAUAUUGGACAAUGGGCGCAAGCCUGAUCCAGCCAUGCCGCGUGAGUGAUGAAGGCCCUAGGGUUGUAAAGCUCUUUCACCGGUGAAGAUAAUGACGGUAACCGGAGAAGAAGCCCCGGCUAACUUCGUGCCAGCAGCCGCGGUAAUACGAAGGGGGCUAGCGUUGUUCGGAUUUACUGGGCGUAAAGCGCACGUAGGCGGACUAUUAAGUCAGGGGUGAAAUCCCGGGGCUCAACCCCGGAACUGCCUUUGAUACUGGUAGUCUUGAGUUCGAGGGAGGUGAGUGGAAGUCCGAGUGUAGAGGUGGAAUUCGUAGAUAUUCGGAGGAACAACAGUGGCGAAGGCGGCUCACUGGCUCGAUACUGACGCUGAGGUGCGGAAGCGUAGGGAGCAAACAGG
RNAcentral lists this ribosomal RNA (404 nucleotides) under Actinomycetes bacterium. RNAcentral describes it as "Actinobacteria bacterium partial 16S ribosomal RNA". It matches the Rfam family "Bacterial small subunit ribosomal RNA", at positions 355 to 776 of the family's 1533-position model. The record is from RNAcentral. Lineage: Bacteria; Bacillati; Actinomycetota; Actinomycetes.